This 73-nucleotide transfer RNA is filed under the name Camelus bactrianus (Bactrian camel). It matches the Rfam family "tRNA". From Rfam's summary of the family: Transfer RNA (tRNA) molecules are approximately 80 nucleotides in length. Their secondary structure includes four short double-helical elements and three loops (D, anti-codon, and T loops). Further hydrogen bonds mediate the characteristic L-shaped molecular structure. tRNAs have two regions of fundamental functional importance: the anti-codon, which is responsible for specific mRNA codon recognition, and the 3' end, to which the tRNAs corresponding amino acid is attached (by aminoacyl-tRNA synthetases). tRNAs cope with the degeneracy of the genetic code in two manners: having more than one tRNA (with a specific anti-codon) for a particular amino acid; and 'wobble' base-pairing, i.e. permitting non-standard base-pairing at the 3rd anti-codon position. Lineage: Eukaryota; Metazoa; Chordata; Mammalia; Artiodactyla; Camelidae. The record is from Rfam by way of RNAcentral. RNAcentral also lists the same sequence under 2 other names.
GAGGGUACAGCUCAGUGGUAGAGCAUGUGCUUAGCAUGCAUGAGGUCCUGGGUUCAAUCCCCCAGUACCUCCA